RNAcentral lists this RNase P RNA (385 nucleotides) under Acetobacteraceae bacterium. RNAcentral's name for it is "RNase P RNA component class A". It matches the Rfam family "Bacterial RNase P class A". Rfam says of the family: Ribonuclease P (RNase P) is a ubiquitous endoribonuclease, found in archaea, bacteria and eukarya as well as chloroplasts and mitochondria. Its best characterised activity is the generation of mature 5'-ends of tRNAs by cleaving the 5'-leader elements of precursor-tRNAs. Cellular RNase Ps are ribonucleoproteins. Lineage: Bacteria; Pseudomonadati; Pseudomonadota; Alphaproteobacteria; Acetobacterales; Acetobacteraceae. The record is from RNAcentral.
CCAGAUAGUUGAGUGACUGCUGUAGAGUUUAUAACUUUAUAGAGGAAAGUCCGGGCUCCACAGGAAUACGACGCCGGUUAACAGCCGGCAGAGGCAACUCUAGGGAUAGUGCCACAGAAAACAAACCGUCUGUUUUUUAGUUUCAGAUAAGGGUGAAACGUUGCGGUAAGAGCGCAACGCGACUCUGGUAACAGAGUUGGCAGGGUAAACCCCGUCGGGUGCAAGACCUAAUAGGAAAGAUAAAUCUCCAUUAUGAGAGAUUGAGGGUAUUCCUGCUCUUCUUUCGGGUUGGUCGCGUGAGAAUGGUCGCAAUACCAUUCCAAGAUGAAUAGUCACUUCAUCCUCAUAGGGUGAACAAAACCCGGCUUAUAGACUAUCUGGCUUU